This 7600-nucleotide long non-coding RNA is filed under the name Theobroma cacao (cacao). RNAcentral's name for it is "long non-coding RNA (TCAC_LNC000655)". The record is from RNAcentral. Lineage: Eukaryota; Viridiplantae; Streptophyta; Magnoliopsida; Malvales; Malvaceae.
GUACGUUAAUGUUUGCAUAUGCAAUCAAGUCCUAGUUUAAGCUUAUCAGCCCGUAAAGCUGUAAGGGAAUAAGACCAAAUGGCAGGUACCAGCACCAUCUUAUAGCCUGAUCAAAUUGACACCUGAAAGUGCCAUUGAGUAAUACAGAGUAAACAAGAAAUAACAAGCAUACAAGCACAUAAUCAUAACUCUUAACAAAGUUGGAAAUGAUCUAAAGUAAGAAAUCAGGCAGCAGGUUGGAAGGUUACACUGAGGGCAAGAUUGGUAAAAGUUGAGCUCUCCUUACCAUGUCAGUGUAGUUGGCUUUUCUCUCUUCCUCCUCACCUCCAUAAAAGACAUGAUACUUCUCAUACCUGAAUCAUUAACAUAAUCUUAUAUGACAGAACUCAAUUACAGUUGCAUAAAUUUCAGGAGUUAAGACACAGAACUUUAAGUGAUCAUGCAUAUAAUGCAAGGACAUACAGUUCGAUUUCUAAGAAACCAUCCAGUGGUCUAGUUGAGGACGGGGAUAUACAUCGCUUUGCCUAUUUUGUCAUUAAUUGUUAGCCAAGCCUAAGUGCCCUGCCUACCAUACAAAAGGGGAGGAUCCUAAUUAUACCAACUACCCAGUCUAAAACCGUAAUUGGGCGGAGUGAAGAUCAAUUUCAAAAAUGGAGGAAAAGAAUUUAUGUAGCAGUCCAAUCUACUUCAAGAUAACUGACUUACAGAGUUGGUAUGUCCAUAAACUGCUAUUAUUAUAUGUAAUAUAGCACAAACAUAUUUAAUUCAAUUGAUUUGAGGGGAAAAGUUUGGCCUGCAUAUAGACUUUCCUCAAAAAAGUCCAAUGCUGUUCUGAUCCACCAGCCCGUUCGAAACAAAUAAUAAAACAUCUACAACUUUAACAGCUAGCAGUCAUGACCAAGUCCAUGUCCCACACAUUUUUAUUUGAUUCCUUAAUAAUAUAGCCAAAAGGAGAAACACCCAAACGUCAGUUUCAAUGACUGUAUCCGCACUACCCAGAAACUGAAGAAUCUUAUAUUUGACAGCUGGAGAUUAAACUUAGUGUACACAUAAAAAGUAGUAGAAAUGAAGGGUUAUUUUUUUUUUUUUCAGUUUUACGGUGAGGGGACAAUGUAGAGAAACUGUAAGCUCGAUCUGGAAAUUAAAGUCAUCUCAGAGAGAGAUGAUGAGCCAAAAAUCAAGAUUAAGUAAAGAGAUAUUAAUCUUAACGUAAGAGAAAAGAGUAAAUCAAGCCAAAAAGCUCACUCCACGGAGUGGGAAAGAGACAUUAAACCAUUUUAAUUAAGAGAAAGAUAUCCAAGUCAAAGCCUAGUCUAAGAAAGAUGUCAUUUUGUAGUGUGUUCAAGCCAAUUUCUCUUUUACUUUAUACAUGAACAUACGCCAUUGCCAGAUGUAAGAAUAUAAAACAGAGGAAGGAAAGCAUAAACGUAAAGAUAAAGAAUAAAUCUAAAGAAAAGAAGAAAAGAAAAGCGAAUAUUAAUUAAAGCAACAGAUUCAAAAGCUAAAACCAAAAAAGAAACGGAAGAUGAAUAAUACUUUUCAACAGCAGAGAGGACAUCGGUUUUCUCAAUCUUGCCACCGAGACCCGAGGCGAGAUCCAAUGCACCAGCCUUCGACAUUCUCGCUUCCACCCGCAACAAAUCUAAAUUCUGUUUCUUCUUCUUCUGUUAAAAAAAAAAACAAGAAAACAAGAAAACGAAGAACAAAGUUAUUCAAGAUUCCAUUAAAGCUUUUCGGAUUCCUUAACAAGAACCAAAGCAAGUCGAAAAGAAGAACAAGUUUCAGAUGAAAAUGCAGAAAGCGAGAUAAAAGAAAAGAGGGAAAAACAAAAUUGGGAAGCAGCGCAAAGAGCAAAAGGUCAAGAGAGUACCAGCUGGGGGAGUGGAAAAACACUAAUUUGCAAAGACAAAAAAGGGAGGGAUGUAUGGUUUAAAUAUCCCCAGUGGAAAUACCCCGUGAGAUACCAUACAGGGGCAGGCUGCGACCUUUUUUGCACUACCUACCGUCACCUUUCACCAACAUUUAACGGACCCAGAGCAGAUUCUACCAUCCCCCAUUGAUAAAUACUCUGGAAUCUAACGUUGAAAUCUUCCUUCUUUUCUUCUGAUUUAACCAAAUACUAGUAUAAUAACCAUUACCUUCUAAAUUUUAGGCAAAAUGAUGCUUGUCAUAAGGGAUAAGUAUUCGGCCAAUUUAGUCAAUUCAGUUUUAAAAUUUAAAAAAAAAACAAAUUAACAAAAUUUUUAUAAAAAGUAAUCGAAUUGGUCAAAUUAUAUUCUAGAACCCAAAUAACUGAAAUCGAUUCUAUGUUUGAUUUAGUUAAAUUUAUUAUUUUUAUUAAUAGUACUACUAAUUUUUUAUUAAUAAUAUUUAUAUAAUAUAUAUUAUAAAUUAUUAAAUUUUCUAUUGAUUUGAUUUAAAUGUUCUGUGAUUAAAAAUAAUAUAAUAAAUCAAACUACGUAAUCAAUAAAUAUCAAAAUCAAACAAAUUGAACCAAUCAAAUUUUGAUCGAAUUGAUUAAUACUCACCUUACUCAGCUUUAUUUAAAAAUAAUGUCACGAGAGUGCCUUUGAAUGUUUUUUUACUGUGUCAUACCGUACAAAAAAAGUUUAAGAGGAACUACAAAUUUCGACUCAUCAUUAAGUGUCACACAGUGUUUUAAUAACCCAAAAAAAUUAAUAAGAAAAUUAAAAAAUAUAUAUAUAUGGGACAUGACCAUGUUUGGUUGGUAGGGUCGAAUACAUAUUUUGAAAAGUGAAAUUAAAAAUUAUUUACAAAGUACAUAAUUUGACUUAAGAAUAGUACAAUAAUAUUUUAUUAUUGAUGUGUUUUUGAGACCACAAAGUAAUUGAUAUGAUUAAUGAUAAUUUGAUGUGAUCCACUGCAUUGCUGCAUUGGUCCCAUGUCAUAGAAAAUAUUUUUGGAAUUUGGGAAAGGUUUUUUUUGAAUUUAAAAAAAAAAAUUUGAACUCUACUAUUUAAGUAAGAAAAAUCAUAUACCAAUUAAUGAAUUAAAUACUCAUAUGUAAUAUUAAGUUUAACUAUAAUUAAAUUUUCAUUUAUAUUAAAAAUUUGUUAGAGUAUAAAUCAAAGAUUAAAGAUUUGUUUAAAUAUGAUAAAUUAUUACAAAUUUAAUUGAAAAAAAAGGAACAUAGUUCAAAAUUUUUUAAGUAUUUUAAGUCUUUGUUUUUCAUUUAUAUCUAUUUUUCAAUUUAAAAUUAAUUACUUUGAUUAUAAAAAAUGGGUGGGGGAGUAAUGUCAAAUGGAAAAGGGCUACAUCUACAUGAUAGAUGUGAUGAAACCCUUAAAAGUUAGAAUACUUGCCCACCAUGCCUAAUCCAUAAAUACCUGUGGUUUAUUCUUUUUGUAUUGCGACUAUUACUAUCUAUCUUCUUAUCCUAAAAUAAAUUUUUAGAUAAAACCCAUUUUUUUUGUCAAUUUGCCUAAUUAUUUCGUACUUUCUUUGUAUUAAGUUCUUUAAUAGGAAUAAAUCAAUCAUUUUAUGUCGUUGAGUUUAAAAAUCUUUACAAAUACAAUUAAACAAGUCAAUCUCGACUUAACUUUUAUCGACAAAAUCUAUUUUUUUUUUUACAUUUCUAAUUAUAUUAAUAGUUUUACAUCUCUAAUUAUAUCAAUAUUACAAAAAUUGUGCGGUGGAGGAGAGUAGUAAAAUAAUGAAAUAAUAAUUUGAAAUUACACAAAGUCAAAACAUUUUUACAGUUUUACUUCCAAUUGAUUAUUAUUUUUUUGUUAUUAAAAAACAAGACAAUAAUUAAACUACUAUCUUCUUUUGCAAAAAUUUGGGAUAUUUUUUCUGAGAUUUCGAAUUCAAGAUUUAAAAAUAAAUUAUAUAAAAUUUAAUAAUUUUUAUUGCAUAAAUGAAAAUGUUUAUAUAUUCUUACACGACAUAGAUAUUGUUGGAGUGUAGAAUGACUUAAAAGAGUGAACUGGGCGUCAGCCGUGAGGCAGAGACAGGGGAGAGAGUCCAUGAGCAGCUUGUGAACGUGCAUUUUGGUGAGAAGCCAGCCAGUAGAAAGAAGAGGUUUUUGGGAAUCCGAGCUGUGUCCCCAAGACUUUCAAGUGUCAAGGGGGGGACACAGCAGCGCAGAGUUGAGUGUCUUUUCUUUCCUCAACAGUCAGCACAUGUAAACUAAACUCCAAACCAAACACUUCUCCCUGUUCUCUCCUUGUUUGCCACGUCCUCUUUGUCUGUACUCACGUGCCCCAGUCCACCAAAUUACAAAAUCACCAUUACAAACAAAAUCAAACUAAAUCGAAUUUGCAAUUUAAAAAUUCGAUAAUUUAUUUUUGAAGAUUUUUUUUUAAAUUUUAAAAGAAAUAGUUUGAUUUAGUUAGUUUAAAUUGAAAUAAUUGAUAAAAUUUAUUAAAUUAGAUUAAUUUCAAUAUUAAUGAGUUAAAAGAGAUUUUAUUCUAUCAUUUUCGUUGAUUUUUUGUGUCCAAAAUUUAUAACUAAAUCGAUUGAAGAAUAAAAAAUUAAUAAUAUUCUUUAAAUAAGGAAAUAAUAAUUUGAAAUUACACAAAAUCAAAACAUUUUUAUAGUUUAACUUCCAAUUGAUUUUUUUUGUUAUUAGAAAACAACAGAGUAAUUAAUAAUAUGCUACAUUCUAAUUUCGUAAAAAAUUCGAAAUAUUAUUUCUGAGACUUCGAAUUCAAGAUUUAAAAGUAAAUUAUAUAAAGUUUAAUAUAAUAUAAAGUAGUUUUUAUUGCAUAAAAUGAAAAUGUGUAUACAUAUAUUCUUACAUGACAUAGAUUUUAUUUGAGUUUAGAAUGACUUAAAGCAGUUAAAAGAGCGCGAGCCAUAAGGCAAAGACAAGGGGGGGGGGGGGGGGGGGGGGUUGUUUUUCCAUUCCAAAUGCAGUUUCCAGUCAUUCAGAUAGGCUAAUUAGUUCCUGCAUCAUCGAAUGACUGGCUCUGGUUCUCUGAAAGUGGUUUUCGGGCCAAGAAGAAAUACGUAGGCGUAAAGAUCUCUUUCCUGAAAUCCAGAAGUAGAGGUUUUGUCAGCAUGUUAGUUGGCGACAGAAAAUGGAGAUUGCAUCUAAUUCAAACUACAACAUUCAUAAACCUAGGGGUAAACCAACAUGCAGAAGUAAUCAUGGAGAACGAGGACUUCUAACUCACCUGCCACCUUCAACCAACCCAUCUGCAGCCUUUUCCAGAAAAUCUUGAACCCUUUGACUUCCCCUUGGAGCAAAUCCCACAAAUUCUAGAGCCUUGACCUGCAAAGGGGAAAAGGUACCGGUAAAUGCAUGCUCUUAUGAACUUAAUAUGACCAUCUCCUCCAAGAAUGGAGGGAGGGGCAUUAGGAAGGUUUUACCAUAUUCCUAGUGAUGAAGCGUCCAAUAGCCGUUGCACGGAAGCUACUCAAUGAGAAGUGGUUUUUAUCUACAGGCAAGUACCAAGGGACGGGGGAGUCAACGGCAACAUCUUUCUCCCAUAUGACCUUGAAGACCAAUAUGAAAAUAAAAAGGAAAAUGGUCACCUCUACACUGGUCAUGAUAUUGCAUCUCCAAUUAAAAGGAAAAGGGAGGGAGGGAAGAAGUAAGAAUUCACCUCAAAACCAGCCCGUUUUAGAGCUUCCAGGCACUGUCUGGUCAACCUGAUGUCUGAAAGACCAUCGCCGAUCUCAAUUUCUGCCUGUGUAAGCAAAACUCUCAGGUAAGAUCAACUCAUGGAUGCACAACAAACCCAGGAGCAUAAACAUGCUCUUUAGAAGCCUACCUUAAUUUUCUGGUGUUCCUGGUUAUUGGGAUCAAAAGAAUCGGUCAUGCACCACUCAGAAGCAGCAAAAUACUGACCAGGCUUCAAUACUCUGAAAAUCUCCUUGUAGCAUCCGUGCUACACACAACAGAUAUAACAAUCAAACUGAUAUAAAUUGGUGUAACAUGAAAACAAUCAAACCAAAACAAAUUAAUAUAGGGUAGAAAAUUCAUAAUCCAUUCCAGCCGAGAUGAAAAUGAUCAUGAUUGACAUACUGCAUCCGGUGCAUGGCAGGUAGCUUGAAUUGCAUAAACUGCAUCAAAGCUGCUGUCAGGAAAUGGCAUCUCCAUAAAGUCGGCCUGUAUUAGAUAUCAAUAAAAAAAAAACCAGUCAUUGUAAUGUAGACCAUUUUUUCUGCAUCUUAAAAACACCUUCUUGCAUGCAAGUGGUUGAAAAUUUUAAAACAAACAGAGAAUAAUAACAGACCUAACGUAAACUUGAGUUCAACAACGAUAAAAACAAAAAACUUGACAUAGAACGUUACCAACCUUCACAAAGUUGCAAGUCUUGUCCACUCCAGCAAUGCGAUUUAAUUCCUGCAAAAAUUCAUCUUUAGAUAAUAGAAUUUUUACGGUGAUUGAACCAAAAACCCGAUACAAAAUGUGACAGAGAUACAACAUCCAUCAACUGUAUAUUACUAUGAUCCAUCACUACAUAUUUCAUUGGGAAAAAGGAUAACUUGAGAAAUUGUUCUUAAAAUCUUGGCAUGAUAUAUAUUGGUCAUAGAGCUACAUUUUUAUUGACCCAAAAAGAACAUAAUAGCUUCCAAAGAUAAAUAAAUUUACAAAGCCAAGGUUGCUGAAAGAAACAAAGAAAAGAAUACUAUCUGCUAAAUAUGCAUAAAUAUUUCCAUCUAAGAAUGAAGAGAUAUGCACCUUCCCUCUUUCUAUUUGAUAUUCAUUGUUGUUCAACCCUGUAACUGAUGUGGAGCUGCAGCAAAUCACCAUACCAACAUAAUUUAGAGGCCUCUUUCAAGACAAUUUUUUUAAUAAGAAAUUGAACUGCCCAAAACCUUAUCAUGAUUUUAUACAAAAGAAUACGAAUAACAUGCAAUAGUACAGGGCCACACCACAUGAAAAAGAAAAGAUGAAAGAAACAAAGGAGGUUCAAAAACGAACUGCUAUUUACCUGAAUCGAGCAAUUUCUCUCAGUGGUCCACCAAUUCCACAUCCAACAUCCAACACCUAAUAUAAAAAUAAAAGCGUAAGUAAAAAAUUCAAACCAAACAGAAAACAGCAAACCUAGAAUGGCAGUGUCUCUGUGAUCUACUGAAGUGGAAGCACCUUGUGUCCAGGCUUCAAGCCAAGUUGUAAAGCAAGAAAAUGCUCAUGCCGCUUUAUGCUCUCGCGAAGAGACUCCCCAUUCCAUCUGCAAAAACAAAUUAGCAUAAUUAUCAACAACAACUUGAAAAAGUAACUGCACCAUCUUGCUUGCAUACGCUAGACAGAAGAGAAAAGAAUGGAUACCUAGGCGCAAAAUGGAAAGAUUCCCCCCAUCCAAACUCAUAAAAGCUGGUAACCAGAUCAUAGUACUUGUUAACCUGAAUUCAAUACAUGGUAUGUUAAUGUUUGCAGACGCAAUCAAGUCCUAGUUUAAGCUUAUUAGCCCGUAAAGCUGUAAGGGAAUAAGACAAAAUGGCAGGUACCAGCACCAUCUUAUAGCCUGAUCAAAUUGACACCUAAAAGUGCCAUUGAGUAAUACAGAGUAAACAAGAAAUAGCAAACAUACAAGCACAUAAUCAUAACUCUUAACAAAAGUUGGAAAUGAUCUAAAGUAAGAAAUCAGACAGCAGGUUGGAAGGUUACACUGAGUGCAAGAUUGGU